CAGUAGCCACGGUAAUACGUAGGUGGCAAGCGUUGUCCGGAAUUAUUGGGCGUAAAGGGCUCGCAGGCGGUUUCUUAAGUCUGAUGUGAAAGCCCCCGGCUCAACCGGGGAGGGUCAUUGGAAACUGGGAAACUUGAGUGCAGAAGAGGAGAGUGGAAUUCCACGUGUAGCGGUGAAAUGCGUAGAGAUGUGGAGGAACACCAGUGGCGAAGGCGACUCUCUGGUCUGUAACUGACGCUGAGGAGCGAAAGCGUGGGGAGCGAACAGGAUUAGAUACCCCUGUAGUCCCUGUCUAUUAUAC
This 301-nucleotide ribosomal RNA is filed under the name uncultured bacterium. Its description in RNAcentral is "partial 16S ribosomal RNA". It matches the Rfam family "Bacterial small subunit ribosomal RNA", at positions 509 to 807 of the family's 1533-position model. The record is from RNAcentral.